UCUCUCUCUCUCUCUCUCUCUCUCUUUCUCUCUCUAACACGUUCUCAGUGUUCAUUCAGUAUUCAGUAAUCAUCUUCUCACCAAUUGGUAAUGGCUUCCCUUGCGUUUUCUUCUGGAAGUGUCGCAGCUACGAACAAGUUUCGGUCUUCAAUCCCUGCUAAGAACGGCUUAAUUAGUUGCAGGGUCAAUUUUAAGGAAAAUGGGAGGCUGGGUGCACAGACCCUCAUCAGUGAGCAAGAAACAGUGCCUGACUUCUUGACCUCAAACCAUUUUGAGAAAACUCCAAUAAGAAAAGAUGAGAAUAGACUUCGGAUCUUUUCAGGCACUGCCAAUCCUUUAUUAUCUGAGGAAAUUGCAUGUUACAUGGGUCUGGACCUUGGAAAAAUCGAUAUUAAACGCUUUGCUGAUGGAGAAAUAUAUGUCCAAUUGCGUGAGAGUGUAAGAGGGUGUGAUGUAUAUCUUGUGCAACCAACUUGUCCUCCUGCAAAUGAGAAUCUUAUGGAGCUUUUGAUUAUGAUAGAUGCAUGUCGCAGAGCAUCUGCGAAAACCAUUACUGCAGUUAUCCCAUACUUUGGAUAUGCAAGGGCUGAUCGGAAGACUCAAGGACGAGAAUCUAUUGCAGCUAAACUUGUUGCAAAUCUGAUAACAGAAGCAGGAGCAGACAGAGUCCUUGCUUGUGAUCUUCAUUCUGGGCAAUCAAUGGGCUAUUUUGAUAUUCCAGUUGAUCAUGUUCAUGGUCAGCCUGUGAUACUUGAUUACCUUGCCAGCAAGACCAUUUAUUCUGAUGAUUUAGUAGUUGUCUCACCGGAUGUUGGUGGAGUGGCUAGAGCACGAGCUUUUGCCAAAAAAUUAUCUGAUGCGCCAUUGGCAAUUGUUGAUAAGCGGCGUCAUGGGCACAAUGUGGCAGAAGUGAUGAAUUUGAUUGGUGAUGUGAAGGGUAAAGUAGCAGUCAUGGUUGAUGAUAUGAUUGACACUGCUGGUACUAUCUCUAAAGGAGCAGCACUGUUGCAUCAUGAAGGGGCAAGGGAAGUUUAUGCAUGCAGCACACAUGCUGUUUUUAGCGCAGUCCACCUGCGAUUGAGAGGUUGUCAAGUGGUCUGUUUCAAGAGGUAAUUAUCACGAAUACCAUUCCAGUGUCAGAGAAGAACUAUUUUCCGCAACUGACUGUCCUAUCGGUAGCAAACCUACUUGGCGAGAGCAUCUGGCGUGUGCAUGAUGACUACUCUGGAGGCUUCGAACACUUCUCCGGCCUGGGCAUCGAUUAAUUUGAGAUGCAAGCAGCAAUGUGUAUUUGACAUGGCUUCAUUACGCCCACUUGAUUGAUUUAAUCUCAACGCCCAUGAUCCUUUGUACAAAUGUGACCUUUUCGAACUUUUGUGGUGUAAAGGCCUCAAUAAAUUAAAUUACAUCUAUAUAUGAGGUACAAACUAUUCGAGACAUGUGACAUCCGUCAUUUUUGGGCG
Cynara cardunculus var. scolymus (artichoke) is the source of this 1463-nucleotide RNA transcript. It is a transcript of the gene named ribose-phosphate pyrophosphokinase 1, with no coding region annotated. Lineage: Eukaryota; Viridiplantae; Streptophyta; Magnoliopsida; Asterales; Asteraceae. The record is from RefSeq and is a predicted model, not a curated record. The transcript has 9 exons.